RNAcentral lists this ribosomal RNA (327 nucleotides) under uncultured eukaryote. Its description in RNAcentral is "partial 18S ribosomal RNA". It matches the Rfam family "Eukaryotic small subunit ribosomal RNA", at positions 1470 to 1796 of the family's 1831-position model. The record is from RNAcentral.
CCCUUAGACGUUCUGGGCCGCACGCGCGCUACACUGACCAGUGCAACAAGCAUCCGUCCUUGGCCGACAGGCCCGGGCAAUCUUUGAAUCUGCAUCGUGACGGGGAUAGAUUAUUGCAAUUAUUAAUCUUCAACGAGGAAUGCCUAGUAGGCGCAAGUCAUCAGCUUGCGUCGAUUACGUCCCUGCCCUUUGUACACACCGCCCGUCGCUCCUACCGAUUGGGUGUGCUGGUGAAAUGUUCGGAUCGGCCGUUUGUCGCGGUUUCCGCGUCAUGUGGCUGAGAAGUUCAUUAAACCCUCCCACCUAGAGGAAGGAGAAGUCGUAACA